RNAcentral lists this ribosomal RNA (385 nucleotides) under uncultured bacterium. Its description in RNAcentral is "bacterial SSU rRNA". It matches the Rfam family "Bacterial small subunit ribosomal RNA", at positions 28 to 411 of the family's 1533-position model. The record is from RNAcentral.
GAUGAACGCUGGCGGCGUGCUUAACACAUGCAAGUCGAACGGUGAAGCAGGAGCUUGCUCUUGUGGAUCAGUGGCGAACGGGUGAGUAACACGUGAGUAACCUGCCCUUGACUCUGGGAUAAGCACUGGAAACGGUGUCUAAUACCGGAUAUGACCUUUGAAGGCAUCUUCUGAAGGUGGAAAGAAUUUCGGUCAAGGAUGGACUCGCGGCCUAUCAGCUAGUUGGUGAGGUAAUGGCCCACCAAGGCGACGACGGGUAGCCGGCCUGAGAGGGUGACCGGCCACACUGGGACUGAGACACGGCCCAGACUCCUACGGGAGGCAGCAGUGGGGAAUAUUGCACAAUGGGCGCAAGCCUGAUGCAGCAACGCCGCGUGAGGGACGA